This 261-nucleotide long non-coding RNA is filed under the name Setaria viridis. Its description in RNAcentral is "long non-coding RNA (SVIR_LNC005229)". The record is from RNAcentral. Lineage: Eukaryota; Viridiplantae; Streptophyta; Magnoliopsida; Poales; Poaceae.
GAGAAGAUGAGGAAAAAUAAAGAUGUCGUUGUCUCGCGAGAUAACCGCCUCAUAUGCUACAUUUUAGUACCAUGAUACGAUUGCUUCACCAUCGUAUGAGUUGGGUUGCCAUGCAACUCAAAAUAUUUCUUUUUUCUCUAUGCACAAAUUAAGGAAAUAGAAUUACUAUGAGAAAAUUAAAAAAGAUAACUCGUUGUACAAAUUAUUUGUUAAUUCGUCUCAAAAUUACGUGUCAAUACAUAAGAUCAUCUAUUAGACAAC